CCGUAUCUUCCCUCUCAUUUUAUCACUCGAUAGGUUCGUAUAUUAGAAUUAGUUUUCAGAAAACUCAACUUUAUAAAGACUUGAUUUUGGAAUGAAAACUUGGUUUUCUGUAUUCUUAUUGAGAUACAAAUUCUAAUUCUGAUUUCUUGUGAAAGCUUUGAUGCGUACAAAUACUGUAAACUGUAAAAUGAUUGAUAUGUCUUGGAUAGUAAUGUGUGUACACAGGAAGGAAGGUUGAAAUUAAUACCUUUGCUGAACCUUGCUGAAAGAAUAACUCUGCUCAAAACGAACACUCUGUACUUUAGAAUUUAGCAAUUGAAGUUUGUGGUUUUAAAACUGAUUCAUUUGAGUUAAUUUAUAGGCGAAUUGUUGCGACAAUGGAGUUUAUGAACGUGGAAUUUUUGGUGUGUGAAAGUCGGCUGCUUUUGAACAAAAUAAGAUUUGCUGCGGCUGUAUCUACUUUUGAAAAAAAAUGAGAUUUGCUGCGGCUAGAGAUCUGAAAUCUUUGAAAUCUGCAAUCUUUGAGUCGGAGGGGAAGGUUGAGCAUGCUUAAGGAAUAGCACACAUACACUUUCUUUUUNUUUCUUUUCUUUUUUUUUUUAGUGUUGAUUGAUAGGUAGAAAAAUAGUGAAGUGUAAACAGAGGCAAUAAUUCUUGUAUUGGAAUUUCUAUAUCUGUAAUAUUGUAUUGCGUUUUUAAAUAAAAAUCAACUCCCGGGUUUUGUUAAUAUCGCGUGUUUAUAAAACUACUCGAUAUCAUGCUUCCUUGCUUAGCUAAAAUAAUUCUAAAUUAAAUCCGUAGAUUUAAUUCUUCAUAAGCCGGAAUAAAUUCACGACUCAAG
Molecule: long non-coding RNA, 841 nt
Filed under: Salvia miltiorrhiza (redroot sage)
Lineage: Eukaryota; Viridiplantae; Streptophyta; Magnoliopsida; Lamiales; Lamiaceae
Description: long non-coding RNA (SMIL_LNC006698)
Source: RNAcentral